UACGAAGGGUGCAAGCGUUACUCGGAAUUACUGGGCGUAAAGCGUGCGUAGGUGGUUUGUUAAGUCUGAUGUGAAAGCCCUGGGCUCAACCUGGGAACGGCAUUGGAAACUGGCUUACUAGAGUGCGGUAGAGGGGUGUGGAAUUCCCGGUGUAGCAGUGAAAUGCGUAGAUAUCGGGAGGAACAUCUGUGGCGAAAGCGACUUCCUGGACCAGUACCGACGUUCAGGCACGAAAGCGUGGGGAGCAAACAGG
This 253-nucleotide ribosomal RNA is filed under the name uncultured bacterium. RNAcentral describes it as "partial 16S ribosomal RNA". It matches the Rfam family "Bacterial small subunit ribosomal RNA", at positions 524 to 776 of the family's 1533-position model. The record is from RNAcentral.